GAUGAACGCUAGCGGCAGGCUUAACACAUGCAAGUCGAGGGGCAGCACUUGUAGCAAUACAUGGUGGCGACCGGCGCAAGGGUGCGUAACGCGUGAGCAACAUGCCCGUAUCAGGGGGAUAAUCCAGGGAAACUUGGUCUAAUACCCCAUAGCAAUUAUUUGAGGCAUCUUAAAAUAAUUUAAAGCUUUGGUGGAUACGGAUUGGCUCGCGUGACAUUAGCUAGAUGGUAAGGUAACGGCUUACCAUGGCUACGAUGUCUAGGGGUUCUGAGAGGAAGAUCCCCCACACUGGAACUGAGACACGGUCCAGACUCCUACGGGAGGCAGCAGUGAGGAAUAUUGGACAAUGGAUGGAAAUCUGAUCCAGCCAUGCCGCGUGCAGGAAGACGGCCCCUAUGGGUUGUAAACUGCUUUUGUGUGGGAGCAAUAAGGUCUAUGCGUAGACUGAUGAGAGUACCAUACGAAUAAGCAUCGGCUAACUCCGUG
This 486-nucleotide ribosomal RNA is filed under the name uncultured bacterium. Its description in RNAcentral is "bacterial SSU rRNA". It matches the Rfam family "Bacterial small subunit ribosomal RNA", at positions 28 to 507 of the family's 1533-position model. The record is from RNAcentral.